GCGGGUUUAGCUCAGUUGGGAGAGCGUCAGACUGAAGUUAAACUUCAUUCCAUGGGUAUCUGAAGGUCGUGUGUUCGAUCCACACAAACCGCA
Molecule: transfer RNA, 93 nt
Filed under: Fusarium fujikuroi
Lineage: Eukaryota; Fungi; Ascomycota; Sordariomycetes; Hypocreales; Nectriaceae
Description: transfer RNA-Phe(GAA)
Rfam family: tRNA
About the family: Transfer RNA (tRNA) molecules are approximately 80 nucleotides in length.
Source: RNAcentral